This is a long non-coding RNA of Lytechinus pictus (painted urchin), 2182 nucleotides long. RefSeq lists it as uncharacterized. The record is from RefSeq and is a predicted model, not a curated record. Lineage: Eukaryota; Metazoa; Echinodermata; Echinoidea; Temnopleuroida; Toxopneustidae. The transcript has 3 exons.
CGGUUCAACCCAGAAAAAUGUUGAUUUGAAUAAAUAUAGAAAAAUCAUACUAGCAUAACACUGAAAAUUUUAUCAAAAUUUGAUGUAAAACAAGAAAGUUAUGAUAUUUUAAAGUUUCGCUUAUUUUUCACAAAACAGUGAUAUGCACAACUAUUAAAGAAAUGCAAAUGAGACAGUCAAUGAUGUCCCUCACUCACUUUUUCUUUUGUUUUUUACUGUUUGAAUUAUACAAUAUUUAAUUUUUUACAGAUUUGACAAUAAGGACCAACUUGACUGAACCAUAUAGUAUUUAACAAUGCUAGUUCCACAUGUACAUGGAGGAAUCAAGCGUUGUUUCACUUGACAAUGAGGAGAAAAUUAGAAUAUUUCAUGUAAUAGAAUACAAAAGAAAUAGUGAGUGGAUGACGUCAUCAGUCUCCUCAUUUGCAUACCGACCAUGAUGUGCGUAUAACUGGUUUGUGAAAUUGAGCAAAAUUUUAAAAUGUCAUAACUUUCUUAUUUUACAUCCAAUUUUGAUGAAGUUUUCAGUGUUUUGCUUGUUGGAUUUUUCUCUAUUAAAUCAACUUUUUGUUGGGAUGGACUUGUCCUUUAAGCAACAUUACGUAUCCAUUAAAGUGCAUGUCGGACCCAAAAUUGCUCCAUAACAUGAUUUUGUGUACAAAGUCAAUGUAAAUUGAGUUUUCUCACCUUAUUCAUAAAGAUAUGAUUAUUUUUACUUUCAUCCGCUGAAAUUAAUUGAUUUUAGCAUGAUUAUGCUUUAAAAAGUAUCUGCUUUAAAUUUGGUGAAAAAACAAAGAAAAACAAAAGGUAAAAAAAGGAAAUACAUAAAACUAUGAAAUGCAUAAGAAAUUCAUUUUCAAACCAGGAUUUUUUUAAUUUGUAAUUGUUAGCAAUGGUGUAAAGAAUAUUUUCACUAAAAUAUUAGCAUUCUAACAAUAAUAAAUAAUAAUAUGUCCAUUUAUAUAGCGCAGUUACUAUGUGCAUACUUAACUGCGCUUUGAUACUUGGUAUCAUAUUAUUACCCCGGCUGUAGCUGAGCUGCCAUAUUAAUAGGCGCUAAAGCGUUCAAGGAAUAAAUCCUAUCGGGUACCCAUUCACCUCACCUGGGUCGAGUGCAGCACAAAGUGGAUAAAUUUUUUGCCGAUGCUGGGAUUCGAACCCACGACCCUCUGUUUCAAAGUCCGAAGACUAAUCCACUGGGCCACAACGCUCCAUUCUAUGAGCUUUUUAUUGUGAAUUUAGAGCAAAAAGUGUGAUUAAUGCGUAAAUUAGCAUAAUUAAUUUACAUGAAAUAAAAUCUGAUGAUUUCAGGAAUAUAAACCAUACAGCCCUUGUAGAUUACAUCCCACACUAUUAUCAUGACAAUUUUCAUGGCGUUCGCAUGAUCGGCGGCUGAGAUCUCAAGGGGUGUUGAUUCACCCCCCCCCCCCCCCCAAGUCAUAGAACACCCAAAAAAGCCCGGUCUGGCUUGAUAGGGUUUAGGCAUUUGCCAUAUAUGGGAUUACAAUCAUUGCAUAUAUAUAGGCUCACAUAACACAUUAUAUGACAUUAGCCGGCGAUAGAAAUUUUACUGUGUCAGCUCAAAAUAUUGGAAAUAUAUUUGUGUGCAUGAUUGAGUUGAUAUUUAAUUACUUGUACCAUAAUUGUUUUUUUUUUCUUCAUUGUCUUUCUCUGUUUCAAUACUGCAGGCUUUCACUGAUUACAUGUAGCUAAUCUGAACAAUCUGCUUUUCUGAGUAAUCGAGUUUGAUGAAUACUCACCUGAUCUAUUUGACUAGAUCUUUCCAAGAGGAAAUACUGACUGGAUGCCCUCUAUAAGCUUGUUAUACUGUGCAGGAGAGAAUGAAGUACAGCACCCAAGGAAAGUGUGGAUAAUUGCAAAGAUAGAGCUCAGAAAUUUACUUCAGAUGUGUAGCUGUUGAACUGCAAAAUUAAGCUGGAGCACUAAAGUUAUUUGAAAGUGGAAUUACAAUUGUGAUUGAUUGAUGUACUGUAGAUGACUUCACCAUGAGUACCAAGUGGAAUAAUGUCAAAAGUGGAUCAAAGACUUGGGUUCACUCUGCAGCAGCUCUGACAGCUGGUCAUGUUGUCUAUAAUGUAAAAUAUCUCGGAGCAGUAGAUGUAUCAUCCCCCAAGGGAGCUGAUAUUGUCAAAGAAGCUGUAACAAAGUUAAAGGUAAAUAC